UAACACCAGCAGCCCGAGUGGUGGUCGCGUUUAUUGGGCCUAAAGCGCUCGUAGCCGGGCCGGUAAGUCCCUUGUGAAAUCGGAUGGCUCAACUGUUCGGCUUGCAAGGUAAACUACAGGUCUUGGGGCCGGGAGACGCCGAGGGUACUCCGGGGGUAGCGGUGAAAUGCUGUAAUCCUCGGGGGACCACCAGUGGCGAAAGCGCUCGGCGAGAACGGGCCCGACGGUGAGGGGCGAAGGCUGGGGGAGCGAACCGGAUUAGAUACCCGGGUAGUCCCAGCUGUAAAGUAUGCGGGUUAGGUGUAGGGCGUUCCAUGAGGGCGCUCGGUGCCGUAGGGAAGCCGCUAAACUCGCCGCCUGGGGAGUACGGUCG
RNAcentral lists this ribosomal RNA (373 nucleotides) under uncultured archaeon. Its description in RNAcentral is "bacterial SSU rRNA". It matches the Rfam family "Archaeal small subunit ribosomal RNA", at positions 471 to 843 of the family's 1478-position model. The record is from RNAcentral.